GUUACGAUUCUUGGACAUGAGCCAUGCCUGAUGAAGCUUUUUGUUAAAGCACAUGUGCGGAGUGAUGACCACUAAAAAGAGGUGCAACAGUUCAUGGAUAGCUAAGCCCAACACUUAAUGGAUACAUAUAACAGCCGUUUGAAGGAGAGAUGUAUGGACGAUCUUUCGACCCAUCUGGAUAUCGAUCUGGUUUUUAUGGUUGGAGACAGGAUCAUCUAACACUACGACUGCAAACUUGUGUACGGCUCGUAGUGUUUCGACCAUUAGACGCUCGCAAUUGGUUCCGAUCACACAAACUCCAGAGUUCGCGACGAUGUUAGGUCAACGAGUACAGAAUCAGACAUCCGAUCUUAAUGAAAAAAAAUGAACGACUCACUACGGAUUAUGAAGAAUUCCACCUAGUGGUAAUGGAGAUGAGAUCACAUAUGGUGAUCCAUGUGUUCCUCCUUAUUGGCUUUAUGGUUUCAGUGAUAACUAACCUCCUCCUCCUCCUCCUCCUCCAGCACCGUCUCUAUUUUAGAUUUAUUGUAUUUGAACUUAAAAAUGUUUAAAUUUGUAAUAGAUAUUUAAUUUUCAUAUUAUUUUAAUUUCUUUUUAUA
Long non-coding RNA from Populus trichocarpa (black cottonwood), 599 nucleotides. RefSeq lists it as uncharacterized. The record is from RefSeq and is a predicted model, not a curated record. NCBI's taxonomy places the organism in Eukaryota, Viridiplantae, Streptophyta, Magnoliopsida, Malpighiales, Salicaceae. The transcript is spliced from 2 exons.